RNAcentral lists this ribosomal RNA (265 nucleotides) under uncultured Eubacteriales bacterium. RNAcentral describes it as "uncultured Clostridiales bacterium partial 16S ribosomal RNA". It matches the Rfam family "Bacterial small subunit ribosomal RNA", at positions 76 to 339 of the family's 1533-position model. Lineage: Bacteria; Bacillati; Bacillota; Clostridia; Eubacteriales. The record is from RNAcentral.
UGAUUUCCUAUUUGACUGAGCGGCGGACGGGUGAGUAACGCGUGGGUAACCUGCCUUGUACAGGGGGAUAACAGUUGGAAACGGCUGCUAAUACCGCAUACGCGCACGGCAUCGCAUGAUACAGUGAUCAAAGGAGCAAUCCGCUGAAAGAUGGGCUCGCGUCCGAUUAGAUAGUUGGUGAGGUAACGGCUCACCAAGUCGACGAUCGGUAGCCGGACUGAGAGGUUGAACGGCCACAUUGGGACUGAGACACGGCCCAGACUCC